GCCGGGCGUUGUGGCAGGCGCCUGUGGUCCCAGCUACUUGGGAGGCGGAGGCAGGAGACUCGCUUGAGCCCAGGAGUUGGAGGUUGCUGUGAGCUGUAAAGCCAGGGCACUCUACCCAGGGGGACAGCUUGAGGCUCUGUUUCAAAAAAAAAAAACAAAAACAAAAACAAAACUCUAACCCUGGCCAACAUCUUUUUUUUGUGAGACAGAGUCUCACUAUGUUGCCCUUGGUAGAGUGAUGUGGUGUCACAGCUCACAGCAACCUCAAACUCUUGGGCUUAAGCGAUUCUCUUGC
Molecule: small RNA, 295 nt
Filed under: Otolemur garnettii (small-eared galago)
Lineage: Eukaryota; Metazoa; Chordata; Mammalia; Primates; Galagidae
Description: Metazoan signal recognition particle RNA (ENSOGAG00000024092.1)
Source: RNAcentral